Molecule: unclassified non-coding RNA, 377 nt
Filed under: plant metagenome
Description: partial contains 5.8S ribosomal RNA, internal transcribed spacer 2, and large subunit ribosomal RNA
Rfam family: 5.8S ribosomal RNA (bases 1-105)
Source: RNAcentral
GAAAUGCGAUAAGUAAUGUGAAUUGUAGAAUUCAGUGAAUCAUCGAAUCUUUGAACGCACCUUGCGCUCCUUGGUAUUCCUUGGAGCAUGCCUGUUUGAGUAUCAUGAAAUCUUCAAAGUAAAUCUUUUGUUAACUCAAUUGGUUUCUACUUUGGUAUUGGAGGUCUUUGCAGCUUCACACCUGCUCCUCUUUGUUCAUUAGCUGGAUCUCAGUGUUAUGCUUGGUUCCACUCGGCGUGAUAAGUUAUCUAUCGCUGAGGACACUGUAAAAGGUGGCCAAGGUAAAUGCAGAUGAACCGCUUCAAUAGUCCAUUGACUUGGACAAUACUUUUAUGAUCUGAUCUCAAAUCAGGUAGGACUACCCGCUGAACUUAAGC